AAUAUUUGACAAUGGGGGCAACCCUGAUCCAGCCAUCCCGCGUGUGUGAAGAAGGUCUUCGGUUGGUAAAGCACUUUAAGUUGGGAGGAAGGGCUUUAGGCUAAUACCUUGAAGUUUUGACGUUACCAACAGAAUAAGCACCGGCUAACUCUGUGCCUGCAGCCGCGGUAAGACAGAGGGUGCAAGCGUUAAUCGGAAUUACUGGGCGUAAAGCGUGCGUAGGUGGUUAUGUAAGUCGGGUGUGAAAGCCCCGGGCUUAACCUGGGAACUGCAUUCAUAACUGGAGAGCUAGAGUACGGUAGAGGGUGGCGGAAUUUCCUGUGUAGCAGUGAAAUGCGUAGAUAUAGGGAGGAACACCAGUGGCGAAGGCGACUACCUGGACUAAUACUGACACUGAGGUGCGAAAGCGUGGGGAGCAAAC
RNAcentral lists this ribosomal RNA (421 nucleotides) under uncultured bacterium. Its description in RNAcentral is "partial 16S ribosomal RNA". It matches the Rfam family "Bacterial small subunit ribosomal RNA", at positions 360 to 773 of the family's 1533-position model. The record is from RNAcentral.